GGCACCACCUGUAGUCUCACCUGAACUGAAACUGCAGAAGUCACCUGAGAUGUUCUCCAAUCGUUUCCAUACAAUUCAUGAAAUUGCUCCCAGUAAGCUCACUCACUAGCAAGCACAAGAUGGAUGUCAGUGAGUGUGAUUCAGAUGCCAUACCAUGGCAAACAUGGAGCCCGCUCAGAUCACUUUGGCAAUUAGGAGCACAUUAAACACCACACGCAUUAUCCAGCAGUAUAUGCAGCACCAGAACCUGGCAAAGCGAUACCGGACGAAUAGGCGACAUCAGCGCGGUGACAAGAGUGAUGAGGACAUGGACACAGACUUCUCUUAAAGCCUGGGCCCUGGCAAUGUGGGCAUCAUGGUGCU
Molecule: long non-coding RNA, 363 nt
Organism: Caretta caretta (loggerhead turtle)
Lineage: Eukaryota; Metazoa; Chordata; Testudines; Cheloniidae
Source: RefSeq, a predicted model, not a curated record